Physcomitrium patens is the source of this 1330-nucleotide non-coding RNA. NCBI's taxonomy places the organism in Eukaryota, Viridiplantae, Streptophyta, Bryopsida, Funariales, Funariaceae. The record is from RefSeq and is a predicted model, not a curated record.
CUCUCAAACCCUAAUUCUUCGGUGGUCAAAUUCCAGUGGUGGCGAUUCCUGCAUGUGCUGGAUGUGCUGGAUGUCGCGAAUUCUGGCUCGCAUAGCAUCACAGUGUGCACGAGCCCAUGGAUUCUGAUGUGAGUAUGGUGCCCUGCUUCAACGCCAUUUGCAAUGCUCAUGGACUCACGCCGCCUCCGAGCUAUCUCCGACUUGUGCAGCUUCGCAAGGCGAUUUUGAGAGAAAAGUGGCGGCCCUAACUAAAGUAAGAGUUGCGUUGCAUGCGCUUUGAGAAAGACGAGUAGCUUUCAUUGCUGAUCAAGAAAAUCAAAGGAAGUGGUGCGAGUCCGAAAUUCUCUGUGCUCACGACGUAAGGGGAGAAUGUCUUCCUCUGUGAGAUCUUUAACCGGAAGCUCGUUGAUGGUUUAGGUUGCACUAAAACCCUAAACCUGGACCAGGGCCAACAGUAGCACUGUGAGGGAUCUCUAGAAGGAGGUGGCGGUUGUGUGUAAAAUUUCGACAGAAUACCAGGGGUUUCUACAACGGCAAGCAUGUCAAUGAAGGGGCGCGGACCACGAAAAACACUUCAUAACUUCGGCGUGGAACGUGGCAUUACUGUGCAGCUCUUAACGCAGUUUCGCGGCGGUGAUGCUCGUGCCCCUCCACCGUAUUAAAUCCCUGACCUGCAGAAUCGAAAUUCCUUGAGGUUGCUGCUUUGGACCAUAGAGUUCCCGUCUGGAAUAUGGUGGUCCACAGGUUGAACCUCGUAGGCGAGCUCGCCAACAAGCAGUGUAUUUCGUGUGGCUGAGAUCCAGUACUUUGCCUCAAGGGAUUCGACGACUUUAACAUAGUCCAGGAACAGUCGCCAUGUCCAAUGUACAAAGGAUAACGUGCGGGUUAGGAUGCGUUCCUUCACGGAGUACACAAGGAUAAUUGAGAGACGCAAAGCGCUCGCUCUGUCUAAGCAACCCUCCAGCCGGCAAUCUAAGAUCGCUCAGCUUCUAACCAAGAAUUUCCGGAGAAGAUCGUUAGUCCAGAACGAUGACAAUCCUCCCGCAGUUCAGAAAGCAGAAUCGUGACAUCAUCGGCCAAUGUUUCAAAGCUGUUUCAAUGUUUCAGAUCUGUCUUAAGUAUACUCUCGAAGACUCUGAUCGCGAGAACAUUUAUGGAAUCUGUUGUAUUUCUGACCUGUAUUUUUAUUGCAGAAUGUGAUUUUGAAACACUCUGAGUUGGCUUGAGAGUUCGAUGUGCACCCUCGUGCUGAGUAGGCCAACUUUCACCUGAAAAUAAAGCGCAUCUCGGCUAAGCCAGCACCUGCAUCACAGUGAGUUGCUUAUUCUUA